Molecule: ribosomal RNA, 1369 nt
Filed under: uncultured bacterium
Lineage: Bacteria
Description: bacterial SSU rRNA
Rfam family: Bacterial small subunit ribosomal RNA
Source: RNAcentral
GACGAACGCUGGCGGCGUGCCUAAUACAUGCAAGUAGAACGCUGAAGAGAGGAGCUUGCUCUUCUUGGAUGAGUUGCGAACGGGUGAGUAACGCGUAGGUAACCUGCCUUGUAGCGGGGGAUAACUAUUGGAAACGAUAGCUAAUACCGCAUAACAAUGGAUGACACAUGUCAUUUAUUUGAAAGGGGCAAUUGCUCCACUACAAGAUGGACCUGCGUUGUAUUAGCUAGUAGGUGAGGUAAUGGCUCACCUAGGCGACGAUACAUAGCCGACCUGAGAGGGUGAUCGGCCACACUGGGACUGAGACACGGCCCAGACUCCUACGGGAGGCAGCAGUAGGGAAUCUUCGGCAAUGGGGGCAACCCUGACCGAGCAACGCCGCGUGAGUGAAGAAGGUUUUCGGAUCGUAAAGCUCUGUUGUAAGUCAAGAACGGGUGUGAGAGUGGAAAGUUCACACUGUGACGGUAGCUUACCAGAAAGGGACGGCUAACUACGUGCCAGCAGCCGCGGUAAUACGUAGGUCCCGAGCGUUGUCCGGAUUUAUUGGGCGUAAAGCGAGCGCAGGCGGUUUGAUAAGUCUGAAGUUAAAGGCUGUGGCUCAACCAUAGUUCGCUUUGGAAACUGUCAAACUUGAGUGCAGAAGGGGAGAGUGGAAUUCCAUGUGUAGCGGUGAAAUGCGUAGAUAUAUGGAGGAACACCGGUGGCGAAAGCGGCUCUCUGGUCUGUAACUGACGCUGAGGCUCGAAAGCGUGGGGAGCGAACAGGAUUAGAUACCCUGGUAGUCCACGCCGUAAACGAUGAGUGCUAGGUGUUGGAUCCUUUCCGGGAUUCAGUGCCGCAGCUAACGCAUUAAGCACUCCGCCUGGGGAGUACGACCGCAAGGUUGAAACUCAAAGGAAUUGACGGGGGCCCGCACAAGCGGUGGAGCAUGUGGUUUAAUUCGAAGCAACGCGAAGAACCUUACCAGGUCUUGACAUCCCGAUGCUAUUUCUAGAGAUAGAAAGUUACUUCGGUACAUCGGUGACAGGUGGUGCAUGGUUGUCGUCAGCUCGUGUCGUGAGAUGUUGGGUUAAGCCCCGCAACGAGCGCAACCCCUAUUGUUAGUUGCCAUCAUUCAGUUGGGCACUCUAGCGAGACUGCCGGUAAUAAACCGGAGGAAGGUGGGGAUGACGUCAAAUCAUCAUGCCCCUUAUGACCUGGGCUACACACGUGCUACAAUGGUUGGUACAACGAGUUGCGAGUCGGUGACGGCGAGCUAAUCUCUUAAAGCCAAUCUCAGUUCGGAUUGUAGGCUGCAACUCGCCUACAUGAAGUCGGAAUCGCUAGUAAUCGCGGAUCAGCACGCCGCGGUGAAUACGUUCCCGGGCCU